AUACGGAGGGUGCAAGCGUUACUCGGAAUCACUGGGCGUAAAGCGCGCGUAGGUGGAUCAAUUAGUUGAGGGUGAAAUCCCGGGGCUCAACCUCGGAACUGCCUUCAAUACUGUUGAUCUUGAGACCGAGAGAGGUGAGUGGAAUUCCUAGUGUAGAGGUGAAAUUCGUAGAUAUUAGGAAGAACACCAGUGGCGAAGGCGGCUCACUGGCUCGGUACUGACGCUGAGGUGCGAAAGCGUGGGGAGCAACCAGGAUUAGAAACCCUAGUAGUCC
RNAcentral lists this ribosomal RNA (274 nucleotides) under uncultured bacterium. Its description in RNAcentral is "partial 16S ribosomal RNA". It matches the Rfam family "Bacterial small subunit ribosomal RNA", at positions 523 to 796 of the family's 1533-position model. The record is from RNAcentral.